CCGCGCGCCCACCGCCAAACCCGGCCUACCGUUGCUGUAGGCGUACGGGGACUCGGCUGCGCCGUCCUGAAGGCUCUCCAGGAUCUCGCCCUUGCCCACGUCGCUGUCGCCCACCAGCAGGAACUUGAGCAGGAAGAAGCGGCCUAGCACCUGAUCCAGUGCCCGAUUCAUCUUGAGCCCAGCAGGAGCACCCAUCAACCACUGCAGCAGAUGUUGGAGCUCCUCAGCCACGUGCUACAGAGACAUGGGCAGGGACGGGAUGACAUGGUCACACUGAGGCACUUGAAGCAUCUGUGGUGCAUCUGUGAAGCAUCUAUACCUGAACAGAUGGGCCUCACACAAUCAUAGGCUCCAGAUAAAAAAUACUGACCCAGAAGGGACACAACAGCCUCUACUACGCCAUCCUUUGAGAUGCAAAGUUACUACCCCAUCUUACCCACAUGAAGGACAAAGCAACCCUGAGCAAAGACCCCCAAUCUUGGAUCCUUUCCCGAGGAAGAUACAGAUCUUGUGAUGAACUCCAGCUGCCAUUCUAGGGCUCACACAAACCCUUGGACACGAGGGGAAGUUGUCCUGCAGACAAGUGCCCAGGGCUUGCGGGACCCAGAUGCAGCUGCUCCCCUUCCUGUAGGUAAGCCAGCCCAGAGAAGACCUUGCAUGAACAACUUAGAAAAGCUUUUUGUUUUUGUAAUACUAAGGAUUUGUAAGACUGAGGGCCUCCUAGGAGCUAUAAGCUCAGCCCAAAGCGGACAGUUCUAAAGGCACCCUUAAGUUGAGCUGUAGGACUUCAAAAUGCUGAUGCUGACUAAAAGAACAACCCAAGCCUGAAAAAAAGCUCUCUUUCCAACAGCCAUUCCCAGGUGGGUCAAGUAAGGAAGAUUCAGGAAGCCUCUCCAUAGAACUACAAACCGUAUCACCUGUAAACUGAAAUAAACCUCACCCCCCCACCCCCCAAAAAAAA
Molecule: long non-coding RNA, 961 nt
Organism: Peromyscus maniculatus bairdii (prairie deer mouse)
Lineage: Eukaryota; Metazoa; Chordata; Mammalia; Rodentia; Cricetidae
Source: RefSeq, a predicted model, not a curated record